This 497-nucleotide ribosomal RNA is filed under the name uncultured bacterium. RNAcentral's name for it is "partial 16S ribosomal RNA". It matches the Rfam family "Bacterial small subunit ribosomal RNA", at positions 28 to 507 of the family's 1533-position model. The record is from RNAcentral.
GAUGAACGCUGGCGGUGUGCCUAAUACAUGCAAGUCGAGCGAACAGACGAGGAGCUUACUCCUCUGACGUUAGCGGCGGACGGGUGAGUAACACGUGGAUAACCUACCUAUAAGACUGGGAUAACUUCGGGAAACCGGAGCUAAUACCGGAUAACAUGUUGAACCGCAUGGUUCAACAGUGAAAGACGGUCUUGCUGUCACUUAUAGAUGGAUCCGCGUCGCAUUAGCUAGUUGGUAAGGUAACGGCUUACCAAGGCAACGAUGCGUAGCCGACCUGAGAGGGUGAUCGGCCACACUGGAACUGAGACACGGUCCAGACUCCUACGGGAGGCAGCAGUAGGGAAUCUUCCGCAAUGGGCGAAAGCCUGACGGAGCAACGCCGCGUGAGUGAAGAAGGUCUUCGGAUCGUAAAACUCUGUUAUUAGGGAAGAACAAAUGUGUAAGUAACUAUGCACGUCUUGACGGUACCUAAUCAGAAAGCCACGGCUAACUACGCG